GUUUCCCUGUGUUGCCCACGCUGGUCUCAAACUCCUGGCCUCAAGUGAUCCACCUGCCUCAGCCUCCCAAAAUGCUUGGAUUACAGAUAUGUGCUGUCUCAGCCAGGCCAGACAGAUGGAGUCUCACUGGAGAUUGUACUGCAACCUCUGCCUCCUGGGUUCAAGUGAUUCUCCUGCCUCCGCUACCCAAGUAGCUGGGAUUACAGGUGCAUUGCCACCAUGCCUGUCUAAUUUUUCUAUUUUUGAAAGAGAUGGGGUUUCACCAUGUUGGCCAGGCUGGUCUUGGACUCCUGACCUCAAGUGAUCCACCUGCCUCAGCCUCCCAAAGUGCUGGGAUUACAGACAUGAGCCACUGCACCCAGCCAGGACACAGAGUUUUAAUAUUGGAUCCUUCAUGAUGGGAAGGGAGUGGGGGGAUUACAGAUUUUUAACAUUUUUCUUCAUACAUUUCUACAUUUCACUCAUAAUAAAAAAC
Molecule: long non-coding RNA, 475 nt
Filed under: Homo sapiens (human)
Lineage: Eukaryota; Metazoa; Chordata; Mammalia; Primates; Hominidae
Description: HSALNT0064181
Source: RNAcentral